Molecule: long non-coding RNA, 629 nt
Organism: Dreissena polymorpha
Lineage: Eukaryota; Metazoa; Mollusca; Bivalvia; Myida; Dreissenidae
Exons: 4
Source: RefSeq, a predicted model, not a curated record
UGCGGUUAAUGAAACACCAUCUCGGGUCCCAGUAUUAUGCAAUCAUGGAUGAACAAUGGAUGCCAAGAGAUUUACUUGAGUGCUUGGAAAAUAAUAUGCCGACAUCACAGGUCCUAACCAUACUUUCACACGUCUUCGGUGAGAUGCAAUUGCACAAUACAACCUCAUACGAACCGUUUACAGACUAUAUCAGUAAAUACUUUAUGGCAAAGGGAUGCUUUAACCGCGUGGAUAUGAUUGGACGAACAAAGGAGCUGGCAGAUGUGGAAAGGGAACUUGAAAAGCGGAGAGGGGUCUGCGUGUAUGGGCAAGGUGGUCUCGGCAAAACAACGCUGAUUAAUGAAGUGUGUACACGUUGAACGUAUAUGAAAAAGUCCGUGAAGAAAGUGAACCUUAAAGAAACUAACAGUAUACGCACAAUGCUGGCGUUGAUUUUCAAGCAGUUCAAUGAAUCGUUCAUCGAAGAUGAAGGAGAUGAUGUGAACCUUGAAACAGUAGCAGUUUGUUUGAUUGAGGCUUGCAAAGACGACGCUGGGAACACCAUGCUGUUUUUGGAUAAUGUAGAGAAUGUAUAUGACAAUGAAAGACAACCAUUCCGGUCAACUAUGAAUUCUCUUUUGCGGAUUAAU